Molecule: ribosomal RNA, 205 nt
Filed under: Clostridioides difficile
Lineage: Bacteria; Bacillati; Bacillota; Clostridia; Peptostreptococcales; Peptostreptococcaceae
Description: partial 16S ribosomal RNA
Rfam family: Bacterial small subunit ribosomal RNA
Source: RNAcentral
CAUCCCAAUGACAUCUCCUUAAUCGGAGAGUUCCCUUCGGGGACAUUGGUGACAGGUGGUGCAUGGUUGUCGUCAGCUCGUGUCGUGAGAUGUUGGGUUAAGGCCCGCAACGAGCGCAACCCUUGUCUUUAGUUGCCAUCAUUAAGUUGGGCACUCUAGAGAGACUGCCAGGGAUAACCUGGAGGAAGGUGGGGAUGACGUCAAA